AACAUUGAUUAAGUGAAAUUGAUCAUGGUGUGGCAAGUUUAUUAAUAGAAACUUUCAUAAAUGGAUAUCCCUACUAUGACUGUGAAAACAUGUCAGGUGUCACAUGAGUGUCACAGACAGAAAGCACAUGCCUAUGCAAUAUGGCCUACUCUGUAUUUAUUUGUAAAAACUGAAGCAUAAUUUAAAGUGUAUGUCAAUACUGGUUUGAGUUUCUAAGAGAGUUGUUCAUGCUUGUACCAGGUAAGUAUGUAAAAAAAAAGAUUAAGUGCUUUUUCUUUCAUUACUUGAUUAUUUUCUUUAAAAUCAGCUAUUACGGGAUAUUUUUUAUUUUCUACAUGCUGUUUUUUAAUUAAUAUGUACUCACUGAACUGAAGUUUACUAAAUUUGUUUUAUAAGGUUUGUAGUGUUACAGAAUAACUGGGAUUUAUAAACCAGCUGUGAUUAACAAUGUAUUAAUUACUGAACUUGAACCAGACCAUUAGAAAAAUUAUGUUAUUUCUUCCCCUUAUAUGCUCUUAAAAUUUUUUUCCUCCAUACUGUUUUUGAGAUAGUUUGAGAUUUGAGGAUAGGAUGCAUGUAUGAGACUCCAUAAAUUCAACAUUCUGUACUAUAGGUGACAACUAUAAACAAAAUGUAUCUUAGCAUUAAUAUCUUGAGCCUUGAACAUAUUUAAUACAGGACCAUUUUAGAAAUAUUCGGUUAGUUAUAUAUAUUCCUAGCUUACAAGGGCUAGAUCUAAGAUUAUUCUCAAGAGAAAUGUUGAAUUUAUGAAGAAUGGAUUUUGAGGCUUUGAAAAUGAAAAUGGUUAGUAUCUCAAAAUAUGUCAGUAUCCAAACAUCUGUAGUUUUGUCCCAGGAGCAGACAUUAGCUAGCUGGACAAACAGCAGUGAUAUUUGUCACACAGGGCCUAUGGUUUGUUGCUGAACAAUAUAAUACUUUUCUCGUGUGACUCAACACUAUAGCACAAGUAUUAUUUUCCUGGAUUCUCUGGAGGAGCAUCUAAAAGACGGGUUUCUGACAGUGUUUGCUCUUUAAACUAUGUCUUCUUCUACCCCAAGUUGGCUUUGCAUCUUUCACAUAAGUUCUUUAGCUGCCUUAUUAGGAGUUCUAUGAGGGCAACACCUUUUCUGCUUUUCAUCUUGUAUUUAGUUUACUGUGUUAAAAUAUUUGAUUUCAGAUUGAAUGAAUGUAAAUAGAAAGAAAUUAAAUGAAAUUUGAAUGAACAUAAAAUAGAAGUGAUUUUUUUAUUACCUGAGAGAAAAAAAUUUAGUAUACAUAUUUACUAUAGUAUACAUAACCAAUGUACAAUUUUUCAUUAACAUGUUAGAUAUGUUCAUGUUAUCAUAUUUAAUAAACUACUUUUGUAUGAGAAAUGACAGUUAUAAAACUUUCUCCCAAGAUAUUAGAGCUAUUUAAAUAUAUAACAAAUUUUAGUGGUCACUUUAUGUAUUAAAAUUACAGAUUCUUGUUAAUUUUAAAUAUACUUGAAUUGUUUGCUUUUAAAAAUCUUCAUGCAACAAGCUAUAUGGAAUCUAGCGUCACAUAAAAAUAGCGGGAAUACUUUCUUGUAUUAAUAAUCAACAGCUAGCUUUGAUAAUGUAACAUUCAUGUGCAAAAUAAUUGUAAAAAAAAUUUAGCAAAUAUGUCAGAUGGCUCCACAGUUAAGAGCAACGCUGUGCCUUGCAGGGGCAUUACAAAAUAAAUUUGAAAAACAAAAAAAAAUCACCCAUCUCGCCACAUUUAGUGGUGUCUGCCUUUAAUCCCAGCACUCAAGAGGCAGAGGUAAGCAGAUUUCUGUGUUUAAAGCUAGGCUGGUCUACAAAGCUGAUCUACAGGACAGUGAGGGCUGUACAGAAACCCAACCUUGAAAAAACUGAAAAGCAAAAACUAAAAGUGUCUCUAGCAAGGCGUUAUAAUCUCA
Molecule: long non-coding RNA, 1921 nt
Filed under: Rattus norvegicus (Norway rat)
Lineage: Eukaryota; Metazoa; Chordata; Mammalia; Rodentia; Muridae
Description: long non-coding RNA NONRATT004736
Source: RNAcentral